This 69-nucleotide transfer RNA is filed under the name Marmota monax (woodchuck). It matches the Rfam family "tRNA". Rfam says of the family: Transfer RNA (tRNA) molecules are approximately 80 nucleotides in length. Their secondary structure includes four short double-helical elements and three loops (D, anti-codon, and T loops). Further hydrogen bonds mediate the characteristic L-shaped molecular structure. tRNAs have two regions of fundamental functional importance: the anti-codon, which is responsible for specific mRNA codon recognition, and the 3' end, to which the tRNAs corresponding amino acid is attached (by aminoacyl-tRNA synthetases). tRNAs cope with the degeneracy of the genetic code in two manners: having more than one tRNA (with a specific anti-codon) for a particular amino acid; and 'wobble' base-pairing, i.e. permitting non-standard base-pairing at the 3rd anti-codon position. The record is from Rfam by way of RNAcentral. RNAcentral also lists the same sequence under 3 other names. Lineage: Eukaryota; Metazoa; Chordata; Mammalia; Rodentia; Sciuridae.
GAUGUGGCUCAGUGGUAGAGCAUUUGCCUAGCAUGUCUAAGGCCUUGGGUUCAAACCCCAGCAUAUACA